This 263-nucleotide small RNA is filed under the name Arabidopsis thaliana (thale cress). Its description in RNAcentral is "ATSL298380". The record is from RNAcentral. Lineage: Eukaryota; Viridiplantae; Streptophyta; Magnoliopsida; Brassicales; Brassicaceae.
UUUUUUUUGUCACAAAUCCUAUGCUUUGUUUUCUUUAUCUUUCUUGGCAUAUAUUCAACAAACAAACAAAAUAGUCUAGAGACUAUAGACUAUAGACCACAGACUAUAGAGAGACACCAUAUCCAAAUUAAUUGAACGAGUCAUCUAUAUAUACAUUUUUGCAGCCAUUUUAGCAAAUAAAUCCUAGACUUUGAUUUAUUUACAAUCUAAUGCCAUUAGCAUUAAAUCUUUUUUCUAAAAUAAUUAAUUUUACUUUAAAUUUU